GCAAUGUGCAGAGGCAGAAGCCGUAUCGAGAGGCACGGUGGACACUGCACAAGAGAGAAUGCCGGUAUGAGUAGCGAGAGGCAUGCGAGAAACAUGCCCGUCGAAAGCCCAAGGUUUCCUGGGGAAGGUUCAUCCGCCCAGGGUAAGUCGGGGCCUAAGCCGAGGACGGAAGUCGUAGGCGAUGGACAGCAGGUGUAGAUUCCUGCACUACCGAUGGAAUGAAGCAGUGACACAGAAGGAUAACUCGAGCAGGGUGAUGGUCAACCCUGUGCAAGCAUCAAGGUUGGGUUGUAGUGAAGUACGCAAUCCUAUAAGCUGAGGUGUGAUGCGGACCGAAAUUUCAGUAGGGAAGCGAGUGAGUUCACGCUGGCGAGAAAAGCUGCUAGUACAUCCAAAGGUACCCGUACCGGAAACCGACGCAGGUGGGCGAGGAGAGAAUCCUGAGACGAACGGGAGAACCCUUGUUAAGGAACUCGGCAAAAUGACCCCGUAACUUCGGGAUAAGGGGUGCCUGCGAGAGCAGGCCGCAGAGAAUAGUCACAAGCGACUGUUUAGCAAAAACACAGGUAUCUGCGAAAGCGAGAGCUGACGUAUAGGUGCUGACACCUGCCCGGUGCUGGAAGGUUAAGGGAACAUGUUAGAGCAAUCGAAGCAUCGAACCGAAGCCCCAGUAAACGGCGGCCGUAACUAUAACGGUCCUAAGGUAGCGAAAUUCCUUGUCGGGUAAGUUCCGACCCGCACGAAUGGUGUAACGACUUGUGAGCUGUCUCAACAGGGGGCCCGGUGAAAUUGAAGUAUGGGUGAAGAUGCCCAUUACCCGCGACUGGACGGAAAGACCCCGUAGAGCUUUACUGCAGCCUGAUAUUGAGUUUCGGUAACUGAUGCACAGGAUAGGUGGGAGUCUGAGAGACAUGGGUUUCGGCUCGUGUGGAGACGAUGUUGGGAUACCACUCUUCGGUUACUGAAAUUCUAACAUAGCUCUGUGAAACCAGAGGAUGGACAGUGUCAGGUGGACAGUUUGACUGGGGCGGUCGCCUCCGAAAGAGUAACGGAGGCGCCCAAAGGUACCCUCAGAAUGGAUGGAAACCAUUCGAAGAGCGCAAAGGCAGAAGGGUGCCUGACUGCGAGAUUGACAAAUCGAGCAGAGACGAAAGUCGGGCUUAGUGAUCCGGCGGUAUUGAGUGGAAAAGCCGUCGCUUAACGGAUAAAAGCUACCUCGGGGAUAACAGGCUGAUCUCCCCCAAGAGUCCACAUCGACGGGGAGGUUUGGCAC
This 1273-nucleotide ribosomal RNA is filed under the name human gut metagenome. Its description in RNAcentral is "bacterial LSU rRNA". It matches the Rfam family "Bacterial large subunit ribosomal RNA", at positions 1236 to 2524 of the family's 2925-position model. The record is from RNAcentral.